AGGGAAGGAAACCUCACUGGAGGAACAGGAAGGAGUUCUACUGGACAUAAUGCGGUCAGGGAGGUGACUCUCAAGGACUGACUCCACAAUAAGUGUUGGACUAUUAACAUCAAGGAAUAAGUGAAGACAUGGCAACCCUACUGGUAUCACUUAUAUUAUAUGCCCAUACAAUAGAAGCAUUGCUGAGUAGGGCAGCCUGCUUUUGAAAUAUUCACAGAAUUACAGCCUGCAAAGCUCCUAGAGCCUGCCAACGUGCAUAUACUCAGUCCCACA
Molecule: long non-coding RNA, 273 nt
Organism: Alligator sinensis (Chinese alligator)
Lineage: Eukaryota; Metazoa; Chordata; Crocodylia; Alligatoridae
Exons: 3
Source: RefSeq, a predicted model, not a curated record